Molecule: ribosomal RNA, 470 nt
Filed under: Ruegeria sp. HDEN19
Lineage: Bacteria; Pseudomonadati; Pseudomonadota; Alphaproteobacteria; Rhodobacterales; Roseobacteraceae
Description: bacterial SSU rRNA
Rfam family: Bacterial small subunit ribosomal RNA
Source: RNAcentral
CAGCCAUGCCGCGUGAGUGAUGAAGGCCCUAGGGUCGUAAAGCUCUUUUCGCCUGUGAAGAUAAUGACGGUAGCAGGUAAAGAAACCCCGGCUAACUCCGUGCCAGCAGCCGCGGUAAUACGGAGGGGGUUAGCGUUGUUCGGAAUUACUGGGCGUAAAGCGCACGUAGGCGGAUCGGAAAGUUGGGGGUGAAAUCCCGGGGCUCAACCCCGGAACUGCCUCCAAAACUAUCGGUCUAGAGUUCGAGAGAGGUGAGUGGAAUUCCGAGUGUAGAGGUGAAAUUCGUAGAUAUUCGGAGGAACACCAGUGGCGAAGGCGGCUCACUGGCUCGAUACUGACGCUGAGGUGCGAAAGUGUGGGGAGCAAACAGGAUUAGAUACCCUGGUAGUCCACACCGUAAACGAUGAAUGCCAGUCGUCGGGUAGCAUGCUAUUCGGUGACACACCUAACGGAUUAAGCAUUCCGCCUGG